RNAcentral lists this ribosomal RNA (475 nucleotides) under uncultured organism. Its description in RNAcentral is "partial 16S ribosomal RNA". It matches the Rfam family "Bacterial small subunit ribosomal RNA", at positions 331 to 797 of the family's 1533-position model. The record is from RNAcentral.
GUACACUCCUACGGGAGGCAGCAGUGGGGAAUAUUGCACAAUGGGCGCAAGCCUGAUGCAGCCAUGCCGCGUGUAUGAAGAAGGCCUUCGGGUUGUAAAGUACUUUCAGCGGGGAGGAAGGCAAUACGGUUAAUAACCGUGUUGAUUGACGUUACCCGCAGAAGAAGCACCGGCUAACUCCGUGCCAGCAGCCGCGGUAAUACGGAGGGUGCAAGCGUUAAUCGGAAUUACUGGGCGUAAAGCGCACGCAGGCGGUCUGUCAAGUCGGAUGUGAAAUCCCCGGGCUCAACCUGGGAACUGCAUUCGAAACUGGCAGGCUUGAGUCUUGUAGAGGGGGGUAGAAUUCCAGGUGUAGCGGUGAAAUGCGUAGAGAUCUGGAGGAAUACCGGUGGCGAAGGCGGCCCCCUGGACAAAGACUGACGCUCAGGUGCGAAAGCGUGGGGAGCAAACAGGAUUAGAUACCCCAGUAGUCCCA